RNAcentral lists this ribosomal RNA (428 nucleotides) under uncultured bacterium. RNAcentral describes it as "bacterial SSU rRNA". It matches the Rfam family "Bacterial small subunit ribosomal RNA", at positions 355 to 775 of the family's 1533-position model. The record is from RNAcentral.
UAGGGAAUAUUGCGCAAUGGGGGAAACCCUGACGCAGCAACGCCGCGUGAGUGAGGAAGGUCUUCGGAUUGUAAAACUCUUUUAUCAGGGAAAAAUGGUCAUGGAGCUAAUACCCCAUGAUUUGAUGGUACCUGAGGAAUAAGCACCGGCUAACUUCGUGCCAGCAGCCGCGGUAAUACGAAGGGUGCAAGCGUUAUUCGGAAUCAUUGGGCGUAAAGCGCGCGCAGGCGGAUUGAUAAGUCAGGUGUGAAAUCUCGAGGCUCAACCUCGAAACUGCGCCUGAAACUAUUAGUCUAGAAUGUCGGAGGGGGCAGGGGAAUUUCACGUGUAGGGGUAAAAUCCGUAGAGAUGUGAAGGAACACCGGAGGCGAAGGCGCCUGCCUGGACGACUAUUGACGCUGAGGCGCGAAAGCGUGGGGAGCAAACAG